AUGUUCUUCUGGAGGCUUCCGCAUGAUAGAAUAAACACAGGGAACCUACUAAGAAGGAAAACAUUUCACUUGUAUAGUUAUAAUUGUGCUGUAAACAACUGCCAGCAGGACGAAACUUUGCAACAUCUCUUUUGGACAUGUCCCUUUGCUGCUCAAUGUUGGGACCUGGUUUGCCCUUCAAGACAAGUGAAUGUUUCAGUUCUGGAAGCUUUUGCUGACAUCAGGCAGAAAUUACAUAUCCCUUUCUUCUUGGAAAUAAUUAUCCUUGCAUCUUGGGCCAUAUGGAUUUCCAGGAAUAACUUCAUUUUCCAAGCCAUUCCCCCUAGCAUUCAGAGAUGGAAAGCCACUUUCUUGGAAGAACUCAACUUGCUCAGAUUUAGGAUUAAGAGGAGAUAUGCUAGUGCCUAUUGUUCCUGGCUGGAUAAUUUGGCUUUGUAA
This 438-nucleotide ribosomal RNA is filed under the name Triticum aestivum (bread wheat). RNAcentral describes it as "partial small subunit ribosomal RNA". The record is from RNAcentral. Lineage: Eukaryota; Viridiplantae; Streptophyta; Magnoliopsida; Poales; Poaceae.